UUCACUGUGAUCUCAAGCCUAGUAACAUUCUUCUCGACGAUGAAAUGACUGGGCAUGUAAGUGAUUUCGGGUUAGCAAAGUUCUUUUCUGAAGAAGGCCUUCAUAAUUCAACAAAUGAGUCAAGUUCUUUCGGAGUAAGAGGAACAAUCGGUUAUGCUCCUCCAGGUAAAUAUCUAUACUUUCUCUUCUUCCCUUUACUAAAAGCAAUACAUUUAACAAAUAGCAUUUCCAUGCACAGAGUACGGAACGGGAAGAGAAGUGUCAACUUAUGGUGACAUAUAUAGCUAUGGCAUACUUUUAUUGGAGAUGUUCACAGGGAAGAGACCUACUGAUAGCACAUUUAUGGAAGGUCUGAAUCUUCAUAAUUUCGUCAAAGUAGCUUUACCCGAAAGAGUAUCAAAUAUUAUAGAUCCAAUUCUCAUUGAAGGAAGAUCCAGGAAUAUGGGCAAUUCAUUUCCAAAUCAUACUCACAUGCAGAAUGACGACAUAUUGUUUGAGUGUUUAAUUUCAAUAUUUGAAAUCGGAAUAUCUUGUUCUGCUGAGUUACCAAGAGAACGAAUGAGUAUUAGUGAUGCUUUUUCUCAACUUGGUCGUAUAAAAAAUAGGCUUCUCAGGUAAUCAUCUUCUGAAUUGUUCUUAAUUAGUUAUAUAAUGUAUUCUUUGCAAUAUAUUUCACAAUUGCUUUAUGCAUUUUGACGAAUAAAGAGUCUACGUUACCUUUUUUCUUUUUUUUUUUUUUUUGAGUUAAAGAAUUUAAAAAAACAUUUAUGCAUGUCAUGUUUAUUGAUUAUAAAAAUAAGACACAUCAAAUCAAAUAUAAAUUAUUGAUUGGGAUAAAUUAUUUUAUCCAAUAAAAUUACUAUCAUACCCUUAUUGGUGUGAUUUCUGAAAAAAAUAAUAAAAAAUAUGAUGGGAAUGAGUAAUGUGAAAUGGGUAGCUAGCCAUAAAUUUGAAGGAGAAGUGCAUAAAGAAAUUGAUUCCAAGUAUCAGGAACACCAGGCAGACACCAAUGGCUGCAAUCCAUACCCGUGUGACCUCCACUGCCGUAGACGGAGGGAUGGCCAUCAAUUCUUAGCUGAGAAAGUGCAGUGAUAUUAAGCAAAUACACUGGCUUUUGCAUAGCUCCCAAUACUCUCUCCACAACUUGCUCUGCUCGAUGAGGGCCCGCCGGAUAUUCGGAACCUUGGAAUGGCUGCUUUUGCCCCUUGCAAAACCUUGCCGUCUCCUCUCCCCAGUCACUUCCGCUGUUUUCAAAAACAUUAACAUACAUAUAUAUGCUCUUGUAAGAAAUUGGGUUUAGAAACAAUUUGCAUUUAAAAUUUUCAAAAGAAAUAAUAAAAAAAAGAAUUACUUGUUAUGGUCGGGGGAAACUCCUUUCUUCGGGGGUUUUUCCUCUGUCUUCUGCCCCCUUGGCAAAUCUACUUGUCACUAAGGCGUCAUCUUGCCUUAUAUAUUUUUCCGCCCUCUUCAUCAGCUCUGCCAGCGUGGUGGGGGGCUUUCUGCUCAACGAGCCGAAAAAUUCGGCGGAGGUCGUCCCCUUCUACAUGGCCUCCGCCGCUCUUCCCUCAUCCAACUCGGGAAUCUGUAAGGCCUCCAUAUUGAAGCGGGCAACAUACUCCCUCAGUGACUCGUCCAUUCUCUGCCUUACCGUCUCCAAAUAUCUGGUCUUCCUAUCCGCUGGUACUCCAGCUAUGAACCGGCUGAUGAAGGCGUUGGCCAAAUCCCCAAAGCUUCUGAUACUCCCGACCUCCAAGCUGUUAAACCACGCCCUUACUGGCCCCGUAAGCGUCGUUGGGAAUACCUUGCACAUCAAGGUAUCUGAUAAAGUCUGCAACUCCAUGAAAGUCUUAUAGUUCAGGACGUGCUCUCUGGGGUUCCCAGCUCCAUCGUACGCUGCCAUAGGCGGCAUCAUGAACUUUUUGGGGACAGUCUCCUGCUGCACCCAUUUCGAGAAGGAUGAGGAGGUGGGUAGUAGAGUCUGGGCAUGGUCCUUCGCUCCCAACUCAGCCAGGAGCUGUUCCCUCAGCUUUUGCAGUUUUUGAUCUACAUUUUCUUCUUCUUGUCUGGGCCUCUUCUCGAGGUGACAUUCCUCCUCCCACGCUUCACUUUCCGUCCUCUUGGUUGUUUCGAUAGAAUAACUGUCGGCCUCGUCAUUUUCUAUCAGCUCUCUCACUCUUCUUCCAUGAAUCCUAGCCUCCGGUUCUGCUUCUCCCCCGGUUCUCCUUCCUCUUUCUCCAGUUUCUCUGCUAUUGGUUUGAGGAUGGUUGAAGGUAGGCUGCUGAGGUUCAUUGGUUCUGGGUUCUUUUACUACUGGCAAUACAUUCAUUGGGGUGCUAAGACCCCUCUGUUGCAUCAUCUGCCCCAACCAGUGGUUGAAGGGGUUGAAGGGGAUUGGUGUUUGGUUGUUUGGGAUUGUGGGGUUAGAGAAAGAGAACUGUUGCCCCUCCUGAGCAGAGCUCAGGUCAUUAGGGGUAUUGACAAGGUUGCUUUCGUUAUGGUUGGCCAUUGUGGAUCUCAGUGGGUAUUGUAAGAGUGGAACUCCGGUGAUGAAAAGAUCUCAUUUGUUUCCCAUAGACGGCACCAAUUAAUGAUCUGAGAUCCAGAAAAUAGGGUUUACAAUGCGUUCUCUCAAAAAAACGUCCCUUGAGAGGGGAGUGUUCCUCUCUUUUUAUCCUCCUUUUUUCAGUAACAUGUCCCCACCCUUUUUGGUACAGGACCAUUUUUUCUUCUAUAUGGGCUAGUAUGUACGGAUAAUGCAGUGACCCUUCCUUUAUAAGGUGGCCAUUUAAUGCCCUCCGGCGCAAGGACGGACAGGGUUGCGAAGUGACCAGGUUUAUUGUCCUUUCUUCUCAUGACAGGGUUGGAGAGGAAGAGGCCAAUUCUAAGAGAGGCCGGAUCUCAGGUCCGAAUGGGCUGGGCCGGUCUGACUGUCGAGUUUAGCAGGAGUCUGGUCUCGAAGCAGAUUGGGAUGGGCUGGGCUCGGUAGGGAAAUCUCGAGGCUUCCAAGUUGCGGACUGUCCUUAUGGGCCUAACCAGGGCCCGGGAUAAAGAAUUCAGGUGGUUAUCAAUAUUUAAAUUCUAUUAGGUUGAGAUUUUUUUUAAAAUUAAAAUUAGUUAAAUAGACAUACUUGUUGAGCUUCUUUGAAUUAAUUUUCUCCCUCUUUUUAUUAUUAUUUUUUUCUGUUUUUACUUCAUAAACAUACUCAUUAUGAGUUGCGUAUUUCUUUUAACAGAAAUGAAAGAUUCAUUACAUCAAGAAAAGGUACAAAUUUAUAAAAUUGUCAAGAGAAACUCAUAGUGCAAUUAUAGAAUAGAAUCCCCUGAAUGUGCAACAAGCCAUAAUCAUAUAUAUAGAUUAUUUGGAGAAAUUAUUUUAAAUAAUUAUUGUAUAUUUCAAUUAUGAUAUAACCGUUAUAUUUUAAAAUAUGAGACGGAGUGAAAAAUUAAUUUUUUUUUAAAUUAAAAAUUGAAAAUUGAGAGAGUAGAACCUGACACCUCUUAAAUUUAUUCAGAUACAUUUAUCAUCAUAUUAAGACUGUGAGUGAAAAAAAAAAUUAUAAUAUCAUUUUUCCAAUACAACAAAGAAAUAUUUUGCAUAUUCUCAAACAAAUGGUCAUCUGUAUGUCAAUAGCAGAGUAUGGAAUGGGAAGUAAAAGUGGUAAUAUUAUGGCCUACUCUUUCAAAAGAAGAAACCUAUUGAGAAAUUUUGAAUCUUCAUAGACAAACUUUGUCUGAAUGAGCGGAAGAAAUUGUAGAUAUGUCUGAACAUUUCAUCAAACGUCACGGCCAGGCAAAAUUGAAGAUGGACAAAUCUCCAUAGCCAUGCGAUGAUUUUAGGGCCUUAGCCGUCAACCAAGUGGGCUCUACGCUAUCAUUCUUCUAUCCAUAAGCCCCUUGACUUCCAUCGACCUGCAUGAAAAAUGGCAGGCAGUUCAAUCUUCAUCGUAUCCGUUCCCAUUGAAUAAUUAGCAGACAACCCCACUUUUUGUUUAAAGAUUUUGAAAUAAUUCAACAAGCUGGUGGAAUUUAAUUGGGAAUUAAUUCGGGUCAAGAAAAUGUUAUGGGUCCACAUUUUAACAUUUAGUUAGGAUGUGCUAUACUUAAAUUGAAUAUUUUUAAGUUAAAUCGCUCUCAAAAAUUAUUCAAUACUCUAUUAAUAUAAUAAUCGAAUAUGAAAGGAGUAAAAUAAUAAUUAUACAAUCAUUUUUCACUUUUAUAAAGUGUAGAUAAGAAUUUAUUAAAUUUAUAAUAGCCAACUGAAUAUAAUUUUUAUCGAUAAUGUCUUAUAUAACACGUAUCAAAAUAAAUAUAUUUAAAAGAAUUUUAAUAAAUUAUCUUAACUUUUAAUUUUUUAUUAAUUUAUAUUAAUUUAUUUUAAUAUUACUUUUUAAAAUAUCUUUAAUAUUAAAAAAUUAUAAUUUUAGUCUUUAAAAACCUUAUGAGCUUGACACUCCCCUACAGUCCACAUUCUCAUUUACUGUUAAUUAAAUAUUUCUAUGUCUCUACGCAAUUAUUGAGUGGUUCUGUUUGAAGAUGCAUCAAUAUCGAGAUGGAAAAUUUUGUUCAUUAAUUUAUGAUGAAUGAUUUUUCUCUUACCCCAACAAACGGAUUUUAUAAAAAAUAAUUUUAAAAAAAAACCUACAAAAUAAAAAAGUAGCAGUUUUAUAAAAUAUAAUUAAAAAAAAAACUUACAAAAUAGAAAAAAUGAAUUGGAAUUUACAGUGAAACAAUAUUUGAUUUAAACUCUAUUUUUUAUUUAUUUUAGUUCGAUUAUUUUUUAAUUUUAAAAUUUUCAAUUAUUUUAAUUCAAUUCGACUUUAGUAAAAAAAAAAUCAAAAAAAUUAAACUGAAUUAAUUAAUAAUAAUAAAAUAUUAUUUUUAAUAAUAUAGAAAUUAAAUCAUAAUCAAAAUUAAAUAUUUUAAUUAAAUUUUAAAAUAUUAAAAAUAAAGUAUAAAAAAUAAAAAUUUAUUAAAAAUUUAAACCGAUUAAAUCGAAUUGAAUCAAAUUAAAUCAGACCAAUUUGAUUUAAUUUAAUUUAUGAUCAAAAUUAAUUCGAUUUGAUUUUCAUAAAUAUCAAAAUUUUAAUUUUUAAUUUAUUCGAUUCGAUUUAAUUUUAAAUCGAAUUGAUCAACUGUUUACCUCUAAUCGAAAAUACAGAUGGUAAGAACCUUUUAAUGCUCAAAUUAAAUUUAAAGAAUUUUCAUAAUGAAAUACUCGUUAAAAUUGUAGAAAAAAAGAAAAAGAAAAAGAGGGAAUGGAGAGCCCCAAAUCAUUAAUGUAAGAAAAAAUGUCAUCUUUAUAUUUACUUUGUUUUUUUUUUAAAUAUAUGAUAAUAUAUUUUAAUAUAUUUUUAGAUGGAUCCAACUUUUAAUUAAAAAUAAAUUUAUAUUUUUAAAAUGCAAUAUGUAACUAAAUGCAAUUAUUUUAUAAAAAAUAAUUUCAAAAAUUAUUUACUUAGCCCUUAAAAAAUAUUUUUUUUUUUUUCCCUUUUCUUUUAUCCUUUAUUUAUUUUAACUUCAAAUAAGACCCGAAGAUUGCAGCUGGAGAUUCCUUUGCGUCUUCGCAGGGCUAUUCUGCUCACGUCUUUCUAUAGUCAAAGUCUUCUCAUCUAUUGCUAUAUCUUAGUUAAAGGCAUGGCCACCAGCUGAAAGAGACGGACACUGAUUAAGGUUUGCGCUUUGGAAAUUGUUUUAUAGUCUUUGCUGGGUCAUUCCGUUCACAUUUCUGCGCUUAGUCUUUUUGAUUUUCUUCAUCCAAUCCACUCCAUCCGGGACAGGAAGAUAUCUACCCUAUUUUAAUAUUUUUUAUUAAAUAAAUUUAAUAUCAAAAUUUAUCAAUCAGAUUAUCUGAAUUUCUAUUAGCGGAAAAAAAAAAACUAAAAUGUUUAUUUAGAGUUUAGAAAAUAAAAGAUGUGGCAAGUUAUAAUAAGUUCAGAUCUUGGAUAUUUAUUAUUUAAAUUCAUUUAUAUUUUCUAAUAAUAUUUGUAAUUUUUACACCUAUCAUAUAUUAAAUAAAUAGAGUUUAAUAUUUUAUGUAAUUAUUAAAAUUUUAAUAUAUACAGUAAUAUUUUCUAAAUAUACUUUAUGUAAAUUAUUGAAUUAAGAUUUAUAAAAUCAAAUAUUUAUAUAUUUCGAUAUAAAUAUUUAAUUCGAUAAUUAUUAAAUUCAUUAUUAUAAAUGCUAUGAUAUUGAGUUUGCAUAGAUUGUGCUUAUCUUGAGGAUAGUGAGACAUGGUGCAUUAAAUUUCUAUAAAUAAUGGUUGUUUGAACCAUGAAAAGCAAAUUAAACCUAUCACAAAGUAAGCUUUCUCAUCUGUGUCCAAUGGGGCCUUUGCUAUCAUUUUGCAUCCAUACUAUUGCUCUUGUUCUUGCGUGCAACAUCUUGGCAGCCUCUGGCAAUAAUGAAACUGACCUACUUGCUUUGCUACAACUCAAGGCCAACAUCAAUGGCGACCCGCUAGGAGUUGUCCGUUCAUGGAAUUCUACCCUUAACUUCUGUCAUUGGCCUGGUGUUACUUGUGGCCGUAGACACAAGAGGGUGACUGUUGUAGACUUGCGGUCCCUCAAGCUCUCUGGCUCCAUAUCACCACAUAUUGGAAAUUUGAGCUUUCUAAGGGAAUUAAACCUCCAAAAUAAUAGCUUCACCCAAGCUAUCCCUCCCCAGAUCGGUCGUUUACACCGUCUGCAGAAAUUGUUUCUGAAUAACAACUCGUUUCGUGGCCAAAUCCCACCUAACAUAUCCGGUUGUUCUAACCUUGUUAGCUUACAACUUCAAUAUAAUCAGCUGGUAGGAUCGAUUCCAGAGGAGCUUGGUUUCUUGUCCAAGCUUGAAAUAUUUUCUGUGGGAAAAAACAAUCUGGUAGGAACUAUCCCUCCUUCUUUAGGGAAUUCGUCAUCUCUUCAAGUAAUCUAUGCUAGUGAGAAUAAUUUGUUUGGGAGUCUCCCUCAUUCUCUUGGCAAAUUGAUGAAUCUCAGUAUAUUGGCUCUAUUCGAAAAUGGGUUUUCAGGCACCAUCCCACCAUCCAUCUACAAUCUCUCUUCGAUUCUGGCUUUUGAUGUAGGCUAUAAUCAGUUUGAAGGUAGCCUUCCAUCUGAGCUAGGCGCCAACACUUUUCCAAAUAUUCAAACUUUCUUCAUAUCCGCCAAUAAGUUCACGGGUUCAAUUCCCAACUCACUAUCCAAUGCUUCAAACAUAGCCAUUCUUCAUUUAAGUAGAAAUAAGCUUACUGGGAAAGUGCCAUCCUUCGGAAAUCUAAACAAGCUCACACUAUUUUCUGUUUCCAACAACUCUCUGGGGAGCGGCGAAGAUGGUGACCUGAGCUUUCUCCCCUCCUUGACAAACGCCACAGGUUUAGUGCGAGUGGGUAUAGAGAUGAACAAUUUUGGAGGAAGGUUACCUGGACGAAUCUGCAACUUGUCAAGACAUCUCUCAGAAAUAUAUUUCAGUCAGAAUCAAAUAUAUGGAGACAUCCCCAGUGGAAUUGAUAACCUCAUCAGCUUGCAAAUUUUCGACGGAAGCAUUAACAAACUUUCAGGCAAUAUUCCUUCAAAUGUCGGAAAGCUUCGAAACCUCAGGUAUUUGUAUCUUCUCGCCAACAAUUUCUCAGGUUACAUCCCAUCAUCUUUAGGAAACUUGACCGAGUUGCUUCUACUUACAUUGAGAGAAAAUAAUCUUCAUGGCAACAUCCCUUCCAGCCUAGCACAAUGCCAAAAACUGCUAGCUUUGGAACUUUCUUUUAACAACCUUAGUGGCAACAUACCCCCACAAAUUAUGAAUAUCUCCUCUUUAUCUAUACUCCUUGAUUUGUCUAAUAAUUACCAUUUGAAUGGCGUUCUUCCCAUGGAAGUUGGAAAGUUGGAAAUUUUGGGGGUUUUGGAUGUUUCCAAUAAUAACUUGUCAGGUAGGAUUCCUGAAAGUAUUGGAAGCUGUGCAAGUUUAGAAGUUUUGCGCCUGGAUGGGAACUUUUUCCAAGGGUCAAUUCCUUCAUCUCUUUCAUCAUUGAGGGGACUUCGAGUAUUAGAUCUUUCUCGUAAUAAUUUUUCAGGCAAAAUUGCUGAGUUUAUACAAGAUUUUAGGUUAUUGGCAAGGUUAAAUCUAUCAUACAAUGAUUUUGAAGGUGAAGUGCCAACAAAUGGAGUUUUCAAGAAUCCAAGCGCAACAGGGAUCAAGGGGAACAAAAAGCUUUGCGGUGGGAUUCCUGAGUUUCAGCUGCCUAGAUGCAGUUUUGAUAAUAAGCCAAAGAAGAGAUCAAUGGAGAAGAUGAUGAUUUCUAUAAUUGCCCCACUUCUUGGAGCAACUCUUAUAUUUGCAUGUUUCAUUCUUUAUCUAUCAAGAAAGAGGAGAAGUGAUAAAAAUAAUAAUAGAUCAAGCUCUUAUGAGAAUACACUGUUGAAGGUGUCUUAUCAUAGUCUCCUAAGAGCAACUAAUGAAUUUUCUUCAGCAAAUUUGAUCGGUGCAGGUAGCUUUGGCUCUGUGUAUAAAGGAAUACUUGAAGAAGAUGGAAGGGCUAUUUCUAUUGCUGUCAAGGUAAUUAACCUUGAACGUCGAGGAUCUUGCAGGAGUUUCAUGGCUGAAUGUGAGGCAUUGAGGAGCAUCAGGCAUCGAAAUCUUGUCAAAGUGUUAACAGCAUGCUCAAGCAUUGACCACCAAGGAAAUGAUUUCAAGGCCUUGGUUUAUGAAUUCAUGACUAAUGGGAGUUUAGAGGAAUGGUUGCAUCCUAGUACUGCUGUGCCAGUUGAAGAAGCAAAAACUUUGAAUCUUCUUCAAAGAAUAAAUAUUGCAAUUGAUAUUGCUUCUGCAGUAGAAUAUCUCCAUCUUCAUUGUGAAACACCCAUAAUUCACUGUGAUCUCAAGCCUAGUAACAUUCUUCUCGACAAUGAAAUGACUGGGCAUGUAAGUGAUUUUGGGUUAGCAAAGUUCUUUUCUGAAGAAAACCUUCAUAAUUCAACAAAUGAGUCAAGUUCUUUCGGCGUAAGAGGAACAAUCGGUUAUGCUCCUCCAGGUAAAUAUCUAUACUUUCUCUUCUUCCCUUUACUAAAAGCAAUACAUUUAACAAAUAGUAUUUCCA
This 9067-nucleotide long non-coding RNA is filed under the name Manihot esculenta (cassava). RNAcentral's name for it is "long non-coding RNA (MESC_LNC000532)". Lineage: Eukaryota; Viridiplantae; Streptophyta; Magnoliopsida; Malpighiales; Euphorbiaceae. The record is from RNAcentral.